GACAAGAAAUAACAAUACAGGGCUUUCGUCUUGUAAUUGGAAUGAUGGUGAUGUACAACCUCACCAGAGUACCAAUUGGAGGGCACGUCUGGUGCCAGCAGCCGCGGUAAUUCCAGCUCCAAUAGCGUAUAUUAAACUUGUUGCAGUUAAAAAGCUCGUAGUUGUAUUUCAGCCUCGCGUUUUUUCCCUGGUUUUGGGUCUUUUCGCUGGCUUUUUUUUUACUUUGAGAAAAUUAGAGUGUUUCAAGCAGACUUUUGUCUUGAAUACUUCAGCAUGGAAUAAUAGAGUAGGACCUUGGUUCUAUUUUGUUGGUUUUGAGCCUUGGUAAUGGUUAAUAGGAACGGUUGGGGGCAUUCGUAUUUAACUGUCAGAGGUGAAAUUCUUAG
This 386-nucleotide ribosomal RNA is filed under the name Babesia bigemina. RNAcentral's name for it is "partial 18S ribosomal RNA". It matches the Rfam family "Eukaryotic small subunit ribosomal RNA", at positions 469 to 923 of the family's 1831-position model. Lineage: Eukaryota; Apicomplexa; Aconoidasida; Piroplasmida; Babesiidae. The record is from RNAcentral.